AGUGAACGCUGGCGGUAGGCCUAACACAUGCAAGUCGAACGGCAGCACAGUAAGAGCUUGCUCUUACGGGUGGCGAGUGGCGGACGGGUGAGGAAUACAUCGGAAUCUACUUUUUCGUGGGGGAUAACGUAGGGAAACUUACGCUAAUACCGCAUACGACCUACGGGAGAAAGCAGGGGAUCUUCGGACCUUGCGCGAUCGAUUGAGCCGAUGUCGGAUUAGCGAGGUGGCGGGGUAAAGGCACACCAAGGCGACGAUCCGUAGCUGGUCUGAGAGGAUGAGCAGCCACAGUGGAACUGAGACACGGUCCAGACUCCUACGGGAGACAGCAGUGGGGAAUAUUGGACAAUGGGCGCAAGCCUGAUCCAGCCAUACCGCGUGGGUGAAGAAGGCCUUCGGGUUGUAAAGCUGUUUUGUUGGGAAAGAAAGGCAGCAGGUUAAUACCCCGCUGUUCUGACGGUACCCAAAGAAUAAGCACCGGCUAACUUCGUG
RNAcentral lists this ribosomal RNA (492 nucleotides) under uncultured bacterium. Its description in RNAcentral is "partial 16S ribosomal RNA". It matches the Rfam family "Bacterial small subunit ribosomal RNA", at positions 29 to 507 of the family's 1533-position model. The record is from RNAcentral.